RNAcentral lists this ribosomal RNA (178 nucleotides) under Acidobacteriota bacterium. Its description in RNAcentral is "Acidobacteria bacterium partial 23S ribosomal RNA". It matches the Rfam family "Bacterial large subunit ribosomal RNA", at positions 2749 to 2925 of the family's 2925-position model. The record is from RNAcentral. Lineage: Bacteria; Pseudomonadati; Acidobacteriota.
CUACGUUCGGAAGGGAGAAACGCUGAAAGCAUCUAAGCGUGAAACCCUCCCCAAGAUGAGAUCUCCCUGAGCUUCGGCUCCUGAAGGCUCCUGGAAGACCACCAGGUGAUAGGCCAGAUGUGUAAGGCCCGCGAGGGCUUGAGCUUACUGGUACUAAUCAGCCGUGAGGCUUGACCAU